RNAcentral lists this ribosomal RNA (484 nucleotides) under uncultured bacterium. Its description in RNAcentral is "bacterial SSU rRNA". It matches the Rfam family "Bacterial small subunit ribosomal RNA", at positions 28 to 520 of the family's 1533-position model. The record is from RNAcentral.
GAUGAACGCUGGCGGCGUGCCUAAUACAUGCAAGUCGAGCGGUAAGGCUCUCACUCUGUACUUAAAGAUUUGAGUAUGGUGUGAGAGUACACGAGCGGCGGACGGCUGAGUAACGUGUAGGAACGUACCCCAAAGUGAGGGAUAAGCACCAGAAAUGGUGUCUAAUACCGCAUGUGGUCUACGGAUUAAAGCUUCGGCGCUUUGGGAACGGCCUGCAUAUGAUUAGCUUGUUGGUGAGGUAACAGCUCACCAAGGCGACGAUCAUUAGCUGGUCUGAGAGGAUGAUCAGCCAGACUGGGACUGAGACACGGCCCAGACUCCUACGGGAGGCAGCAGUAGGGAAUUUUCCACAAUGGGGGCAACCCUGAUGGAGCAACGCCGCGUGCAGGAUGAAUGCCUUCGGGCUGUAAACUGCUUUUAUCUGUGACGAUUAUGACGGUAGCAGAUGAAUAAGGAUCGGCUAAUUCCGUGCCAGCCGCCGCCG